Mesocricetus auratus (golden hamster) is the source of this 4473-nucleotide long non-coding RNA. RefSeq lists it as uncharacterized. The transcript has 2 exons. The record is from RefSeq and is a predicted model, not a curated record. NCBI's taxonomy places the organism in Eukaryota, Metazoa, Chordata, Mammalia, Rodentia, Cricetidae.
GAUCAGCGUGCCGUGGAGACUCCGCUGAAGGAAGCAGAGCUCACAACAGCCAGUGAGCAUGCCUUGUGCUGGAAUCUCCCCCAAGAACAUGACCUUUGACCCGGAAGACCUCUGCUACGUUCUGAGCAGUGGGUGCAGCUGGGAUGUGAGGUUGGAGAGAUCACAACAGUCCUAAAAUGAUCAGAUCAGAAAGACAGGUGUCCUGAGUUUCUCAGGCAGGAAGGAGUCAUAAGCAGAGAAGUCUAAGAAGUCCUGCUCUGAGGAAGAUGGACUGCCCUCUGGAAGGAUCCUCCCACCAGAGUGAGCCCCGAAAGAGCUGUGAAACCGUCUAGCAGCUCAGCUGGGCUCCAGGGCUCGCUGGCGGCCCUGCUCAGUCCUCCGUACAUAGUCGAGGAUGCUUCCCGGAAGCCUUCCCUCACUCUGUCACCUGUGGUCAGGCCUGGCGCCUUUCCUUCCCAACCCUGCCCAAAUCUUUCUCCACUGUCUCUCACUGGAGGUGGACAAGCUACGUACCGCUCAUGGGAGUAAAAUCUAGCCUGCAGCCAGACUCUGUCCUCCCAGUGAACUGAGCAUUAUUGUGGUGUUUCUAAGUGGUGCGUGGGAGGGAGAUGUGUGUAACAGUAAGUGCGUACGGCUCUGCCUUUAACUCAAAAUACUCAUCGAGUCUUGUGUCUUACAGUGCCGGCUUACUCUCUCUCACACAAAUAUCAGCAAACUGAAUCCCAUCCUGCCGUCCUCAUCGGAGAGGGCGGACCUGGGCUACCAUCAGAAGUGGUUCCAUGAGUGGUUGAAGGAAACAGACAGCACUGUGGAGACUCAGGAUUGGCCCCGACGUCUUUGUGGGGGUGAGCUGACGGCAUCCUGGCGAGUAGGUGGUUAGUAGGUAAGCUACAGAUAAGCCCUGGAUGGCAAUGGCAACUUAAUGCUUAUGGUAGUCUGUGCUAUGCAGCAACUUGAGGACAUUAUCCGCUAGAGGAGAAAGCAGCGGGAGAGACGGCAUUCUGGACUAAGACGCCAAUAAGGGCAGCAGAAGGGGCUGCUGCUGCUAAACUGUACGUAUGCCCUGGAGAACCAUCAGGAGUCGUGAAGGCUGUGAGAAAUCCUUGACUGCUAAAUUGGAGCACCAGACGGUGCUAUUGGUCACCCACGAGAGGCUCGCCUUGCCCUUAGUAGAAGAGUGCGUGGCCACGUGAGCUCACAGCACAGCAAGCAUGGAGGGCAUCAAUAGCCUUGAUGGGGGGGUGGGUGGUAUCUGGGUGAAUGAGCGCCCUUGAGGACGCCAGCUGCAGUUUCCUGCUGCCUCCGUGUCCCCGGAGUCACAGCUUCGCCUGCCAGCUUGACACAGGCUUACAGAGUUGGAGGAGAGCUUCGGCCGAGAAGUCGCCUCCAUCAGGUUGGCCUGUGGGAGUGUCUGUGGAGCAUUUCUUGAUCGCUGAUUGGUGGAAGGAGGCCAUGCCCAUGUGGUCAGCACCAUCUUCAGGAAGGUGGCUCCGAGCUGUGGAAGAGAGGCAGCUGAGUGUGAACGAUGAACCAGCCGGUGAGCCAGCCGGUGACAGUGCUCCCCAUGGUGUGAAUCAUGGUGUGAAUGUCAGUGAUGAGCCAGCCGGUGACAGUGCUCCUCAUGGUCUGACUGUGUGUGAUGAGCCGGCCAGUGACAGUGCUCCCCAUGGUGGGAAUGUCAGUGAUGAGCAAGACAGUGACAGUGCUCCUCGUGGUCUGACUGUGUGUGAUGAGCCGGCCAGUGGCAGUGCUCCCCAUGGUGGGAAUGUCAGUGAUGAGCAAGACAGUGACAGUGCUCCUCGUGGUCUGACUGUGUGUGAUGAGCUGGCCAGUGACAGUGCUCCCCAUGGUAUGAAUGUCAGUGAUGAGCAAGACAGUGACAGUGCUCCUUGUGGUCUGACUGUGAGUGAUGAACAAGCCAGUGCUCCUUGUGGUCUGACUGUGUGUGAUGAGCCGGCCAGUGACAGUGCUCCCUGGCCACUGCUUCACACCCAGCCUCCUGCUGAGCUCCUGCCCUGACUUCUCUGGACGAUGGACUGUCCCCUGUAAGCUAAAAUAAACCCUUCCCUCCCCAGGUUGAUUUUACUUAUGGUGUUUAUCUCAGCAACUGAAAGUCCGUCAGGGAGCAUGGUAAGUGCCAGCACUUCCGUGUGCUGGAAGAUUCUAGGAGUCUCCCAAGCAGGAUAGGGCCCGUGGCUUUUAGACCCACCUGCGGCUCCCUGCCUGUCCUCUGGCCGAUGAGUACACCUGAUGCCCGCAGAACCAGGUGUUAGGGCCUGCUAGGGGCUAACCUGUGAACCCAGAGAACAGUGACACGGCCCUGCAGGAGCCAGGGAAUGCCCGGAGUCCGCUCCAAGGUUGUUUUCAAAGGUGUGAGCCCUACUGGACACGGAGCUUGGCUGCUUUGGGUGUGCCCUCGGAUUGCAGACCCAACACCUGCGUAAUCUCUAAGUGGAGACCUCAGGUUUGCUGCUGAUGUGUGCCUGCGUGUGUAUGCGGUACGUGAGACUGUACGCACUCGGAGGCCAGAGUAAAACAGCAGCUGUCUUCCUCCUUUGCUCUCCGCCUGAUUGCUUUGAGACCCGUCUCUCUGAAGUGUCUCCUCCGCUGGCCAGCCCGAGGAAUGCAGUCACAGUCACAUGCAGCCAUUCCUGCCUUUCGGGGGUGUUGGAGAUUUGAACUCAGGACCUCAUGACUACAAAGCAAACGCUCUCACCUACUCACUGUUCUUGUUAGGUUUUUAUUUAUGUGGUAAAACACUGACCAAAAUUAACUUGGGAAGGAAGGAGUUUAUUAACUUUUCAGCUUACAGUCCAUCAUCCAGGGAAGUAAGAAACUCAAGGCAGGAACCUGCAGUCAGGAGCUGAUGCGGAGCCCAUGGGGGAGAGAUUCUCACUGGCUUACUCCUCGUGGCUUGCUCAGCCUGCUUUCUUAUAGAACCCAGGACCACCAGCCAUGGGUGGUACCAACCACAGAGGGUUGAGCCCGCCCCGUCAAUCAUCAAUCAAGAAAAUGCCCCACAGACAUGCCUGUAGGCAAUUUGAUGGAGGUGGGUUUUUUGUUUGUUUGUUUGGUUUGGUUUGUUUUGUUUUUCUCAAUGAGCUGUUCUUACCAGAUAAUGCUAGCCUGGUCAAGCUGACAAAUGUGACCAGGACACCUGUGAGCCACUUCCCAUCUUCAACUGGCAUGGUUCUUAAAAUCUAAAAAAGGUUAGCUGGGUGUGGUGGUAGCGAAAGCCUUUAAUCCCAGAUACUUGGGAGGCAGAGGCAGACAGAUCUCUGAGUUCAAGGCUGAGUUUGUAACUGUAGAAGGCCCAGCAAAUACCUGUGUCUGUGAGGGACUCAUAGGACACACUGUUCAAGCAGGAAUGCAACAUUUGCCUUCAAAGUUCAUAAGGCUCUGCCUCACCUAUUAGGAACCUCAGGUUUUCUGUUCCUGCACACACGGUCUCAGCUGCACCACUGUCAGGGCUCGCAGAGCGCACACACGGUCUCAGGGCACCACCGUCGGGGCCAGCAGAGAGCACACGGUCUCAGCUGCACCACUAUUGGGGCUCGCAGAGUGCGCACACACGGUUUCAGGGCACCACCGUCGGGGCUCGCGAGCACACGGUCUCAGCUGCACCACCAUCCGGACUUAUAGAGUGCACACACACACGGUCUCAGCUGCACCACCGUCGGGGCUCACAGAGCGCACACGGUCUCAGCUGCACCACCGUCGGGCCUGGCAGAGCUCCCCACCCACAGGCCUGGCAUCCUACGCCACAGAGUAUCCUAUCCAUCCAUCCAUCCAUCCAUCCAUCCAUCCAUCCAUUCAAGACAUGCACCCCCAGCACUGCAGACCCUGGAGCUGCAGAUUGCGUUGCUGUAGGUGGCCUGCCACAUGGAUGCACGGAGACCUGCUCUAGGUCACAGGGGCCUUUUGUCACUGCUGCUGGUGGUACAUCCACAGGGACCCUAGAAGCAGAGAAAGUGAGUGAUGUCAUCGCAGAGAGAGAUGCAGCCGUGAGGGACAAAAUGACACUGAGACCUCACAGAUCUUGGUUUCCACUCAGGAGCUCUUUCCCUGCAGAAUAUAUUUUACCACCGCCACCUCUAACACCUCUUACCCCCCUUUUUUUUUGCACAAGCAAACAUAAUUUAAUUUCUAUUAUUUACAACUUUAUUUAGUUUAAUACAAUAAACAGGGGGGAAGCAAGCAGAUUUUACUUUGAUGUGAACUUUCCUAUAAACAAUAUCGUUCCCCUCGAAUGCAGAGAAGCUUUCUGCAAUUUCCACGUUUGGGGAGUCUGUCAUCAGCGUGUGGGAUGGAUCCCAGCUGGUGUACAUAGUUGAACAGCAGGACUUGAAAAGCCCCUUGCUGCUCCGGGAUGUGGUGACAAAUGUCAGGAAGGUGCGACUGGGAAAAUAAAAUUGUUUCACUGUUUCGAAAAUAAAAAACCAGCGAGUCCCCGAGUGCUGGAAACAUUCCAAA